Molecule: long non-coding RNA, 643 nt
Organism: Cygnus olor (mute swan)
Lineage: Eukaryota; Metazoa; Chordata; Aves; Anseriformes; Anatidae
Exons: 3
Source: RefSeq, a predicted model, not a curated record
UACUAGACGGCCUCUGCAGCCACGCAAGUUGCCCCUCAGAACAAAGCAGGGUUUUCCCCCAAACCAUCAAAACCUUAAGGAAAGCUGUAACCAGAUGAAGUCCCCCAAGGAAGCGUUUUUACUUAAACACUGAUUCUUAACCCUGGUUCUUAGCGUUGCUCUCGCCCUGCACCUCUGCGGUUCCCUCCGCCUCCUUCUCAUCACCUUUUUCCUCCCCUCCCUCUCCUUUCCUCCCUCCCUCCCUCCGUGCCUCAGCUCUCCUGCCACCGCCCCGCUCCCCGCCCUUAGGCUUAGGCCCUCCUCAGCCUUGUGCUCUGCCCCCCUUUAAGGGGGAGGGGGGGGGAGGGGAAUGCUGUGGCUUUGAGGCUGUUUAUUCUAUGGCUCCCCAGGAACGGCAAAGACGCUGGUUGUUCGUGCUCUUGCUAACGAAUGUAGCCGAGGUGACAGGAAAAUACCGUUUUUUAUGAGAAAAGCUUCAGACUGCCUGGGACAAUGGGUGGGGGAAUCAGAACGUCAGCUUCGCUCGUUAUUUGAACAGGGGCUUGAAACUGAGUUGUGUGGGGAAGGAACAAAACGAGAAAACUUUGCAAAGCAAGAGAUUACCUCCCACCAAAACAGCCACUGAAAAGUCUGCAGGAGGCAA